ACCCAGGUGCAAACAGACAGCAGGGGGUGGUCAGGAUACCCGCCACGGAGAUCCACCAGCAGAGGAUGAUGAUGUCCAACACCCUCUUUCACCAACAAAACUCUUUCCAUCUAUGCCUAACUAUAGUACAGUGAUAUUCUCAUGUUUGAGGGCGAUGAAAGAGUUUGGAAAUAGAUUGAGGUGAGGAUUGCAAUAACAUCACGAAUGUAACUAAUGCCUUUGAAUUGUAUCCUUAAAAUGCCAAGGUUUGUAAGCAUGGAAGUUCCUUAAAAAGUUAAAAACAAAACUACUCUCCGAUCCAGCAACUGCACUACACGGUCUUGCUGUGUCUACAUCUAAGCUGUUACGUUGGAUUUCAGGGUGGACACCUCCCACGCCUAGCACCCACCCCCAGGGUGGGCACCUGUAUCGCACCUGCCAUGGAGAUUGCCCUCAUACGUACCCCCUUAUGGACCUGAGAAGGAUUUGUUGAAUCACAGGGGUUACAGAUAUUCGUCGUGAAUAAGUACUGUCUACUGCUCUCCAGACUGCUGUCUACCCUAGUCUAAGAGCUGUGUGUAGCAUUUCCUACAGGCCCACAACCACAGCCACACCUGGCAUGGAAAUGAGAAUAUUGAUACGGCGGACACCAGAGUGAAAAGAUAAGAAAAAUAGGCCCUGCCCUUGGGCAGCCUGAGGCCCUCCAGCCUCCCCGAGACAGAAUACCCAUUCACAUCACAAGGCAUUUCUCUGUGUCACAACACAGAUGAGGAAUGCUGGGGUAGGAUGCCCUCCCCACUGCUACUAUCUUCUGAAAAAAUGACUCAAGUCUCAGGAUUGUGUGGAAUGAGGGAGAGUCACUGUUAAAUUUCUCAGGAUGUCACUUUGGUAAUCUCUGUUCCACCAGGAACAGUCACGAUUGCUGACCAUUCUGCCACCAUCCUGGGAGCUAUAUCCAUCUAAGGAAGAAGCAUAUGCGGACAGAACUGGUCAAGGCCUCACGGGCAAGGUUCUGAGGAACAAGCGGAAUCCAGGCCUGCUUGACUGCAAACCACAAUCUCUUCCUAUGCCUUCGUGGGACAUACUUCAAGAAGAAGGGGCAGAAAUAAGGGCUGCUCAAGAAGUUAACUUUGCUCCUUGGGGAACGUGGAAGUGUUCCCUGCAGAGUCACGACCGGGCUCCCCCAUGAAUGCUGCAGAUUCCAAGAGCACAGGAUUCAGCUCUGGACCAGUCAGCCUUGAUGAUAAGAUAGCACCAAAAAACAGAAACAAGACUUAGAAGAAUCAAGAAACCACCCUCGUGGGCUCGGUGGGAAGUUCUUGGAGAGAAGGGGGCAGCCCAGUGCCACCCACACUUUGACUUUAAUACUAUAACCACAUAUUAUGGUUAAAGGCAAGCCUUGCUAAUAUUCCAUAGUAGAGUGAUGAACACAUUAAAUGAUGUGUUCUUUCCUAAUAUUUUAUUUUCAUGACUUCUUCUUGAUCUCACAACCCUAAGAUCAUGACCUGAGUUAAAAUCAAGAGUCAGACACUUAAGUAACUGAGACACCCAUGUGCUCCUAGAUGUGUUCAUUUGGAUUAGAGUUCCAAUCUGUAUGUAACUAAAACAUCCUUUUAUUGACUCCUACCCCCUUCCACCAAUUAAUUAGUGUUGUUUUUUUUAUCCUUCAAG
This is a long non-coding RNA of Acinonyx jubatus (cheetah), 1650 nucleotides long. RefSeq lists it as uncharacterized. The record is from RefSeq and is a predicted model, not a curated record. NCBI's taxonomy places the organism in Eukaryota, Metazoa, Chordata, Mammalia, Carnivora, Felidae. The transcript is spliced from 3 exons.